UUCUUUAAAUGAGGACUAGUAUCAAUGGCAUCACGAGGAUCCUACUGUCUCCCCCCUCUAAUCAGUGAAACUGAUCUCUCCGUGAAGAAGCGGGGAUAUACAUAUAAGACGAGAAGACCCCAUGGAGCUUUAAACCCGACAGCACCCGCUUAUUUUAAGCCCAAUUAUACGCCCGUACCUGUCUGCUCGGUUUUAGGUUGGGGUGACCACGGAGUAUAAAGUAACCUCCAUGAAGAAAGGGGUAAGUACCCUUAUUAGAGAAAGACACUUCCAAAAACUAACAAAUUAAUUUUUAAUGAUCCGAUAUUCGAUCAACGAACCAAGUUACCCUGGGGAUAACAGCGCAAUCCACCUCGAGAGCUCCUAUCGACA
This 372-nucleotide ribosomal RNA is filed under the name Boophis obscurus. RNAcentral describes it as "partial 16S ribosomal RNA". It matches the Rfam family "Bacterial large subunit ribosomal RNA", at positions 1972 to 2510 of the family's 2925-position model. The record is from RNAcentral. Lineage: Eukaryota; Metazoa; Chordata; Amphibia; Anura; Mantellidae.